RNAcentral lists this ribosomal RNA (253 nucleotides) under uncultured bacterium. Its description in RNAcentral is "partial 16S ribosomal RNA". It matches the Rfam family "Bacterial small subunit ribosomal RNA", at positions 524 to 776 of the family's 1533-position model. The record is from RNAcentral.
UACAGAGGUCCCGAGCGUUGUUCGGAUUCAUUGGGCGUAAAGGGUGCGUAGGCGGCGCGGUAAGUCGGGUGUGAAAUCUCGGGGCUUAACUUCGAAACUGCAUUCGAUACUGCCGUGCUUGAGGACUGGAGAGGAGACUGGAAUUUACGGUGUAGCGGUGAAAUGCGUAGAUAUCGUAAGGAAGACCAGUGGCGAAGGCGGGUCUCUGGACAGUUCCUGACGCUGAGGCACGAAGGCCAGGGGAGCAAACGGG